Long non-coding RNA from Erpetoichthys calabaricus (reedfish), 210 nucleotides. RefSeq lists it as uncharacterized. The transcript has 2 exons. NCBI's taxonomy places the organism in Eukaryota, Metazoa, Chordata, Cladistia, Polypteriformes, Polypteridae. The record is from RefSeq and is a predicted model, not a curated record.
CACAAGCACAUGCUUGGUCAAUACAGGUUUAUUGAAUUAUUUGCAAUACAGAGCCAAUCUGUUUCAGAGGUCGGUUGUUAGGGUUUUCUCUUCAGCAAUUCCUCAGUAAUAAUAAUCAGGAUUAUUUCAGAUGACUGAUUAGUAGCAGAACAUCCAGAACAGAGAAGUUUACAUAAUCGUAUGAGUGAUGGACACAAAGGCUGUUCUCAU